Molecule: long non-coding RNA, 2375 nt
Organism: Cucumis melo (muskmelon)
Lineage: Eukaryota; Viridiplantae; Streptophyta; Magnoliopsida; Cucurbitales; Cucurbitaceae
Exons: 4
Source: RefSeq, a predicted model, not a curated record
GCAAAAGGCUGAAAUGGAGAUGAAGGUGUCGGCCAUGGAUGAAGGAAAUGAGUAAUAAUUUUGAGGCAAUCGAUGGAGGUGUUUCUUCAACCUAUUUCAAUUUUCUUUCUUCACAGAAAAAUGGAGGGUAGUUUGAUGAAGGUGGAUCUGGGCUGCCGUGAAGAUUGGUUCUCAGGAAGCUGAAGCAAAGUGGAAGAUAACAACGAACAAAAGUAGAUUUCAAAUCCUUCAGCAAUAGUCUGAUGUUUUGAUGUUCUGAGCUGUAGAAGUGGAGUUAGAAGUUAAGAUGGAUCAAGUUACAAAUAUAUUUUAAUUUUAACAACUUUUGUGAAGGAUGCUUGAGUUGGAAAUGACGGAAAAGAGAUGAAAUUGUAGGUAGAAGACAACGGAUUGAGUAAUUCGCGAAUCUAGAGUAGCCUGUGAUAUUUAAAGUGUUUUGAGCUAUAGAAAAAGAGUUGGGGAGCUGAGAUUUUGAGGUAAAACAGAUCAACAAGCUGACUAGAAGACUAUUUUUUUUUUUUAUCAAUCCAAGCAAUUCCAAAACUAUAAAUUCACAGGUUCUUCGUGUAGGAAGUUUCAUUGCUUGGAGGAAUUCGAGAGCGUUUCGGAUGCCUAAUUUUUUAGGCAAACUUGCUCACUCUAUGGGUCAAGAAGAGAUUGGACAAAUUUAUAGAUCCAAGAGUCUAGCUUCAAUUUGUGAGUGGCAAAAAUGAUUAGAAUGAUGAUUUCUAAACAUAUUUACUGGUUAAAUGCUUCCAAGCACAUGCUUUGAGAUUUCUAUAGUAUAUUUGUUUAUUGAUUCAGAAAGUUCGAUUGCAAAGCAUGAAUUUAGCAUGAGGUGAUAAAAAGUUUGAAAAGCAUGAGUUUGAUAAUGGGAUACUAUUACUAUUAAACUAUUAGACUUAAGAGUAUUUCCAAGCAAGGCAUGAAUUAUACUGUUUUUUAAGUAUUUAAGCUUAAAAAUGUUAGCAAAAGCAUGAUUUAUAGAUUUGAGACUUGCUGAUUGCAAAAGUAUGUUUAAACAUGUUGUUUUGUUGAUUCUAAAGUUUAUGAUUUGAAAGAAUGUCUUAUCUUACCCCCAUGUUCUUAGUAACUCUAUGAGGGAGUUUGCAUGUACACAAAGGUCGAUUAUAAUGAGGGCAUUGAGUAUAUGCCUAAGAGUUCUCAUCACAAGACUAGAUGAGAUGAGGGCAUCAAUGAAUGCUUAGUUACCCAUCUCCAAACAAUUACAUCGAGAUAAAGGCACAGAUGAGUGCUUAGUUUUCUAUCUCUAGUUAUACAGAGAUUUAGGGUAUAACAAGGAAGAGAAGAGUUUGAAACUAUUUGCUUGAUAAAUUUUUUAUAUGUUUUGCUAAGUUAUUUAUUACUCAUUGAUCUGUAAACCAUGUUUUGUUUUAAAAAUUAGUCACUCACUGAGCUUCAGCUCAGCCUUUACAAAAAUGUUUUCCUACACGAUCUGGUAGUUGACUACUUUUGCCUAUCGGUUAGAGUGUGAGUUAUCUUUUCAGUAUGUCUUAUUACCAUUUGUGCAUAUGUUCGGUAUAUGAGUACUUAAUGCACUUGAGUAGGUUGUGGGUUGUAAGAGUUGGUCACUUGAGUAGGUUGUACUUGAGUUCUAUGUCUAUGUAAGAGUUAUUAAACUUGUUAUUUAUAGGUUGGACUACACUACUUUAUUGUAUACGUUUUAUUUGGUUUCCGUUGUAAAUGUAUGCAUCUUACAUGUUUUUGUUCAAGGUUAAGUUUAGUUUCAGUUCAAGUAGGGUCAACAGGUAUCAUUUGUAGGAGAAUUGUAUCUGUUGGCUUCACAUUGUCUCCUGGACUAAGAGAAGGUUGUUUGGGAGGGGGUGUGACAACCAAUGUUGAUUGGGCCUCUGAUCCAUAUGACAAAAUCUACUUAUGGUAUUUGUAUAAUUUUUGGAAAUAAUCCUGUUGUUUAUGGCUUUUGAAAAAAAUCUAUCAUCUCUGGAUCAAGUACAGAAGUAGAAUAUAGAGCUUUGGCUCUUGGAGUUGCUGAAGUCUUGUGGUUAAAAUCUCUACUUAAUUAGCUGAAUUUUUUUGUAAAACAAGCCCCAAUGAUCUGGUGUAAUAACUUCAGUGUUGUUCAUCUCAAUGCAAAUCCAAUACUUUAUGCAAGAACCAAACGUGUAGAAACUGGCAUCUACUUUGUUCGUGAUCCUUCCUGGCUAAAAAGAUUGAUAUGCAACAACUACCACUUCCAGCAUCAGCUUAAAUAGAUGUUAUCUUUAUAGAAGCCAUUUCUACACAAUCUUUUCUCAGAUUACAUUUCAAGCUCUAUGUUCUUCCAACUUCAUCCAUUGGCUUGCAUGGGAUUUUAAGAUAGCUCACUAAACAAAAUCUCUCUUUGUAAAUCUUCU